This 1548-nucleotide ribosomal RNA is filed under the name Escherichia coli. RNAcentral describes it as "bacterial SSU rRNA". It matches the Rfam family "Bacterial small subunit ribosomal RNA". Lineage: Bacteria; Pseudomonadati; Pseudomonadota; Gammaproteobacteria; Enterobacterales; Enterobacteriaceae. The record is from RNAcentral.
AAGAGUUUGAUCAUGGCUCAGAUUGAACGCUGGCGGCAGGCCUAACACAUGCAAGUCGAACGGUAACAGGAAGCAGCUUGCUGCUUUGCUGACGAGUGGCGGACGGGUGAGUAAUGUCUGGGAAACUGCCUGAUGGAGGGGGAUAACUACUGGAAACGGUAGCUAAUACCGCAUAACGUCGCAAGACCAAAGAGGGGGACCUUAGGGCCUCUUGCCAUCGGAUGUGCCCAGAUGGGAUUAGCUAGUAGGUGGGGUAAAGGCUCACCUAGGCGACGAUCCCUAGCUGGUCUGAGAGGAUGACCAGCCACACUGGAACUGAGACACGGUCCAGACUCCUACGGGAGGCAGCAGUGGGGAAUAUUGCACAAUGGGCGCAAGCCUGAUGCAGCCAUGCCGCGUGUAUGAAGAAGGCCUUCGGGUUGUAAAGUACUUUCAGCGGGGAGGAAGGGAGUAAAGUUAAUACCUUUGCUCAUUGACGUUACCCGCAGAAGAAGCACCGGCUAACUCCGUGCCAGCAGCCGCGGUAAUACGGAGGGUGCAAGCGUUAAUCGGAAUUACUGGGCGUAAAGCGCACGCAGGCGGUUUGUUAAGUCAGAUGUGAAAUCCCCGGGCUCAACCUGGGAACUGCAUCUGAUACUGGCAAGCUUGAGUCUCGUAGAGGGGGGUAGAAUUCCAGGUGUAGCGGUGAAAUGCGUAGAGAUCUGGAGGAAUACCGGUGGCGAAGGCGGCCCCCUGGACGAAGACUGACGCUCAGGUGCGAAAGCGUGGGGAGCAAACAGGAUUAGAUACCCUGGUAGUCCACGCCGUAAACGAUGUCGACUUGGAGGUUGUGCCCUUGAGGCGUGGCUUCCGGAGCUAACGCGUUAAGUCGACCGCCUGGGGAGUACGGCCGCAAGGUUAAAACUCAAAUGAAUUGACGGGGGCCCGCACAAGCGGUGGAGCAUGUGGUUUAAUUCGAUGCAACGCGAAGAACCUUACCUGGUCUUGACAUCCACGGAAGUUUUCAGAGAUGAGAAUGUGCCUUCGGGAACCGUGAGACAGGUGCUGCAUGGCUGUCGUCAGCUCGUGUUGUGAAAUGUUGGGUUAAGUCCCGCAACGAGCGCAACCCUUAUCCUUUGUUGCCAGCGGUCCGGCCGGGAACUCAAAGGAGACUGCCAGUGAUAAACUGGAGGAAGGUGGGGAUGACGUCAAGUCAUCAUGGCCCUUACGACCAGGGCUACACACGUGCUACAAUGGCGCAUACAAAGAGAAGCGACCUCGCGAGAGCAAGCGGACCUCAUAAAGUGCGUCGUAGUCCGGAUUGGAGUCUGCAACUCGACUCCAUGAAGUCGGAAUCGCUAGUAAUCGUGGAUCAGAAUGCCACGGUGAAUACGUUCCCGGGCCUUGUACACACCGCCCGUCACACCAUGGGAGUGGGUUGCAAAAGAAGUAGGUAGCUUAACCUUCGGGAGGGCGCUUACCACUUUGUGAUUCAUGACUGGGGUGAAGUCGUAACAAGGUAACCGUAGGGGAACCUGCGGUUGGAUCACCUCCUUACCUUAAAGAAGC